UCCAGCCCAGCCGCUAUCUCUCCGCCCUCAAACGCCCAGCACGCCCCCUGUUCGGCGGCUACGUCGCCGCCCUCGAACGCCCAGCGCGCCGCCGCCUGUAGCCCCUCCCAGCACCCGCGCCCCCACCCACCUCAACCCCCGGAUCGAUCUACCGCUUCCUCAACCUACCUCGGCGCCAAUUGGAUUGCUGCGGCGACGGCCUCGUCGAUCCUCAGCUUCGGCACCUACAUCCUGAAGGGGUACGAUCUCGUGUUUGGUAUGGAUCUGAACGCCCACCCCUUCUCAGAUCUGCCUGCUACGAAUUCCUUAUUUGGGUCGGGAGCAAGCUGUAAUCUCAGUACUUGUACUUGUUCAUCCAUCUAAGUGUUUCACCUCUGUACUAGUACUUUCAUCCAUCUGAUUCUUUAACCUCUGAACCUUUCACUUGUACGUUUCUCUGAUUUCUCACCCCGCGGCCACCUUGCUGCUGCUGCUUCACUGACUUAUUGGGAUGGCACAUGAGGCAACAUGCUGCUGCGUUUGGAGAUUUCAUAAAAAAAGACAUUAGCAUGUAGCAAACCAUGAGAGGGUAUUAAACAAAACGGCCACAACACUAAACAGAUGGGUCACCAGUUUAGGAUCAGUAGCAGACCAUGGACAAUUUUGGUCUAAUGAAUAAAGCAAAGAUACCAGGGUAAAACAAAUCAGAUGAGGAAUGUUACACGCAAGAGUACUCACCCAUGAGAGCAGGACAAUAUGUCCUGUUGGAAUUGCUGCAUGUUCAUCGGCACACAGUCAGUCAACAACUCGAGGAGCACGACAAUGUGUGCACUUCACAAAAUUCACCACCUUCUCAUCCUAGUGCCACACAUGAAUCCAGCACAAACUGGUAGAAAUUAAAAUAAGUACCAUGCGCAAAUGUCCCGGAUUCUUAGUCCGAUUUUUAACUUGUUAUCUCGAAGUUCCAGCAGAAGAUUUUUUUAAUGAAUAUCUGUUGAUUGAGCGUUGUGUUUUCAAACUAGAUAAGAUUUUGUUCAUAGGCGCAUCUUAUAUCCAAUGGCAUUGAGUGUGGGUGGCUGGACCGUGGUCUUGAAUCUCCUCUCUCUAUUUCGAGUUAUGAUAAGCUGAUAGUGCAUUGGCAUGCUACUGUGUACCUCUUUGCCCUCUCCAUUCACAUGUUUCUUUUGGUCGGAUUGCUUGGUUCUGCGACCCAAAUUGCAGAGGAGACGUCCACAACUUGUACUGCUUGGUUUUCCUGUCCAAGACUCAAAUCUUCUCCUAGGUGGAUUCUCCUUUCUCCUUCCCUCAUUUAUCUUCUACGAAUUCAUGUCUAUUCGCAAUUUAUAUUGUGCUUGUGAUGUCAUUAUUUAAUCUGUCUUUACUUGUAAUGGUUUUAUUGACACUUAAUUAGUACUUUUCUUAAUCUUGUAUUACAUAAGGAAGUACGCAAGCACGGGAGAACAAGCUUGUCAAUUUUUUUGGAACAUGCCAAAGGGGCAAAGAAUAGUUGUAAAAUGCAAUGAAGAAAGCUAGCCUUUUGGAACAAGCUUGCCAAUUGUUUGGAACAUGCCAAAGGGAAUAAUGGAAUAGAAGAGGAAAAUCUCCAAUCAAAUCAUACUGGCAUUUCUCGGUUACAAAUACUACAUGGUAAAACAAAGGAUGGCGAGCAUGAUGAUGUCGGUCAGUUACAAAUUCAACAAAAAAUCAUCGUCACCACAAGACCUUGUUAUUGAUUAUGUACAAAAGGCAAGGGAAAUGAGGGAUUGCGCAGUUGAAUAUUUUUCAAGACUAGACAAGCAGGGGACUAGAAUUGAACGCCCACAUCCAGUUCGCUAAAAAAAGGCGUACUUCUUCAAUCAAGGACAAUUGGUGAAGCUUUCUCUUCAGGAUACUUAAUUGCUUGGCCUUCAACUUUUAUUUGAAACAAGGAUAAUUGACUUGCAGCUGAAUACUUCGGUUGGAACAGGAAGCAAAUAAAAUUUGAAGAUUUUACUUCCCAAUAGUUGUAGUUUACACUGAUAGAUUGAAAAAUGUAAUAUUAUUCAAAAGAUCUUUUUCUUUGGUCGAAUUUAUGCAAAUGCUAUGGUGUAAUAUUCUCCAUACUUGUGUUUUCUAUAGUUAAAUUGAUAUAAAUGAUAUGUUGUUGCA
Long non-coding RNA from Triticum dicoccoides, 2127 nucleotides. RefSeq lists it as uncharacterized. NCBI's taxonomy places the organism in Eukaryota, Viridiplantae, Streptophyta, Magnoliopsida, Poales, Poaceae. The transcript is spliced from 6 exons. The record is from RefSeq and is a predicted model, not a curated record.